Molecule: ribosomal RNA, 2790 nt
Filed under: Escherichia coli HVH 118 (4-7345399)
Lineage: Bacteria; Pseudomonadati; Pseudomonadota; Gammaproteobacteria; Enterobacterales; Enterobacteriaceae
Description: bacterial LSU rRNA
Rfam family: Bacterial large subunit ribosomal RNA
Source: RNAcentral
UUAAGCGACUAAGCGUACACGGUGGAUGCCUUGGCAGUCAGAGGCGAUGAAGGACGUGCUAAUCUGCGAUAAGCGUCGGUGAGGUGAUAUGAACCGUUAUAACCGGCGAUUUCCGAAUGGGGAAACCCAGUGUGUUUCGACACACUAUCAUUAACUGAAUCCAUAGGUUAAUGAGGCGAACCGGGGGAACUGAAACAUCUAAGUACCCCGAGGAAAAGAAAUCAACCGAGAUUCCCCCAGUAGCGGCGAGCGAACGGGGAGGAGCCCAGAGCCUGAAUCAGUGUGUGUGUUAGUGGAAGCGUCUGGAAAGGCGUGCGAUACAGGGUGACAGCCCCGUACACAAAAAUGCACAUAUUGUGAGCUCGAUGAGUAGGGCGGGACACGUGGUAUCCUGUCUGAAUAUGGGGGGACCAUCCUCCAAGGCUAAAUACUCCUGACUGACCGAUAGUGAACCAGUACCGUGAGGGAAAGGCGAAAAGAACCCCGGCGAGGGGAGUGAAAAAGAACCUGAAACCGUGUACGUACAAGCAGUGGGAGCCUCUUUAUGGGGUGACUGCGUACCUUUUGUAUAAUGGGUCAGCGACUUAUAUUCUGUAGCAAGGUUAACCGAAUAGGGGAGCCGAAGGGAAACCGAGUCUUAACUGGGCGUUAAGUUGCAGGGUAUAGACCCGAAACCCGGUGAUCUAGCCAUGGGCAGGUUGAAGGUUGGGUAACACUAACUGGAGGACCGAACCGACUAAUGUUGAAAAAUUAGCGGAUGACUUGUGGCUGGGGGUGAAAGGCCAAUCAAACCGGGAGAUAGCUGGUUCUCCCCGAAAGCUAUUUAGGUAGCGCCUCGUGAAUUCAUCUCCGGGGGUAGAGCACUGUUUCGGCAAGGGGGUCAUCCCGACUUACCAACCCGAUGCAAACUGCGAAUACCGGAGAAUGUUAUCACGGGAGACACACGGCGGGUGCUAACGUCCGUCGUGAAGAGGGAAACAACCCAGACCGCCAGCUAAGGUCCCAAAGUCAUGGUUAAGUGGGAAACGAUGUGGGAAGGCCCAGACAGCCAGGAUGUUGGCUUAGAAGCAGCCAUCAUUUAAAGAAAGCGUAAUAGCUCACUGGUCGAGUCGGCCUGCGCGGAAGAUGUAACGGGGCUAAACCAUGCACCGAAGCUGCGGCAGCGACACUAUGUGUUGUUGGGUAGGGGAGCGUUCUGUAAGCCUGUGAAGGUGGCCUGUGAGGGUUGCUGGAGGUAUCAGAAGUGCGAAUGCUGACAUAAGUAACGAUAAAGCGGGUGAAAAGCCCGCUCGCCGGAAGACCAAGGGUUCCUGUCCAACGUUAAUCGGGGCAGGGUGAGUCGACCCCUAAGGCGAGGCCGAAAGGCGUAGUCGAUGGGAAACAGGUUAAUAUUCCUGUACUUGGUGUUACUGCGAAGGGGGGACGGAGAAGGCUAUGUUGGCCGGGCGACGGUUGUCCCGGUUUAAGCGUGUAGGCUGGUUUUCCAGGCAAAUCCGGAAAACCAAGGCUGAGGCGUGAUGACGAGGCACUACGGUGCUGAAGCGACAAAUGCCCUGCUUCCAGGAAAAGCCUCUAAGCAUCAGGUAACAUCAAAUCGUACCCCAAACCGACACAGGUGGUCAGGUAGAGAAUACCAAGGCGCUUGAGAGAACUCGGGUGAAGGAACUAGGCAAAAUGGUGCCGUAACUUCGGGAGAAGGCACGCUGAUAUGUAGGUGAAGCGACUUGCUCGUGGAGCUGAAAUCAGUCGAAGAUACCAGCUGGCUGCAACUGUUUAUUAAAAACACAGCACUGUGCAAACACGAAAGUGGACGUAUACGGUGUGACGCCUGCCCGGUGCCGGAAGGUUAAUUGAUGGGGUUAGCGGUAACGCGAAGCUCUUGAUCGAAGCCCCGGUAAACGGCGGCCGUAACUAUAACGGUCCUAAGGUAGCGAAAUUCCUUGUCGGGUAAGUUCCGACCUGCACGAAUGGCGUAAUGAUGGCCAGGCUGUCUCCACCCGAGACUCAGUGAAAUUGAACUCGCUGUGAAGAUGCAGUGUACCCGCGGCAAGACGGAAAGACCCCGUGAACCUUUACUAUAGCUUGACACUGAACAUUGAGCCUUGAUGUGUAGGAUAGGUGGGAGGCUUUGAAGUGUGGACGCCAGUCUGCAUGGAGCCGACCUUGAAAUACCACCCUUUAAUGUUUGAUGUUCUAACGUUGGCCCGUAAUCCGGGUUGCGGACAGUGUCUGGUGGGUAGUUUGACUGGGGCGGUCUCCUCCUAAAGAGUAACGGAGGAGCACGAAGGUUGGCUAAUCCUGGUCGGACAUCAGGAGGUUAGUGCAAUGGCAUAAGCCAGCUUGACUGCGAGCGUGACGGCGCGAGCAGGUGCGAAAGCAGGUCAUAGUGAUCCGGUGGUUCUGAAUGGAAGGGCCAUCGCUCAACGGAUAAAAGGUACUCCGGGGAUAACAGGCUGAUACCGCCCAAGAGUUCAUAUCGACGGCGGUGUUUGGCACCUCGAUGUCGGCUCAUCACAUCCUGGGGCUGAAGUAGGUCCCAAGGGUAUGGCUGUUCGCCAUUUAAAGUGGUACGCGAGCUGGGUUUAGAACGUCGUGAGACAGUUCGGUCCCUAUCUGCCGUGGGCGCUGGAGAACUGAGGGGGGCUGCUCCUAGUACGAGAGGACCGGAGUGGACGCAUCACUGGUGUUCGGGUUGUCAUGCCAAUGGCACUGCCCGGUAGCUAAAUGCGGAAGAGAUAAGUGCUGAAAGCAUCUAAGCACGAAACUUGCCCCGAGAUGAGUUCUCCCUGA